RNAcentral lists this long non-coding RNA (238 nucleotides) under Gossypium barbadense (sea-island cotton). RNAcentral describes it as "long non-coding RNA (GBAR_LNC011495)". Lineage: Eukaryota; Viridiplantae; Streptophyta; Magnoliopsida; Malvales; Malvaceae. The record is from RNAcentral.
AAAUCAUAUCAAAUUAGGGGAUUUCAACAAUAAUGGGUUAUGGGUUAACAUUGAGGGUAAAUCAAUUAAUGGUUUGUUAGGCUCAAAGGGGUUCACUAAGGGUUAAUUAUGAAGGUAGGCUUUUGUGAAGUAAAUUUUUAAACCUAAGUGCCUUUAUCAACUUGUCAUAUCAAAUCAAAUGGUGUGGUCUUGACAUGCAUAAUCAAGCAAGUUCUAGAAUAACAAAUCAAUACUGACG